This 376-nucleotide ribosomal RNA is filed under the name uncultured bacterium. Its description in RNAcentral is "bacterial SSU rRNA". It matches the Rfam family "Bacterial small subunit ribosomal RNA", at positions 524 to 898 of the family's 1533-position model. The record is from RNAcentral.
UACGAAGGUGGCAAGCGUUGUUCGGAAUCACUGGGCUUAAAGGGCGCGUAGGCGGACCAGAAAGUGUCUUGUGAAAUCCCCCGGCUUAACCGGGGAAUGGCUCGGCAAACUACUGGUCUUGAGGCAAGUAGGGGUGUGUGGAACUCUUGGUGGAGCGGUGGAAUGCGUAGAUAUCAAGAGGAACGCCGAAGGUGAAGACAGCACACUGGACUUGUACUGACGCUGAGGCGCGAAAGCGUGGGGAGCAAACAGGAUUAGAUACCCUGGUAGUCCACGCUGUAAACGAUGCCUACUAGGUUGUGGGGGUUCUGACACCGUCACAGUCGUAGCAAAAGUGUUAAGUAGGCCGCCUGGGGAGUACGGUCGCAAGGCUAAA